RNAcentral lists this transfer RNA (77 nucleotides) under Ageratina adenophora. RNAcentral's name for it is "tRNA-Ile". Lineage: Eukaryota; Viridiplantae; Streptophyta; Magnoliopsida; Asterales; Asteraceae. The record is from RNAcentral.
CGCAAUUAUCAGGGGCGCGCUCUACCACUGAGCUAAUAGCCCGGGCGAGGUCUCUGGUUCAAGUCCAGGAUGGCCCA